GAUGAACGCUGGCGGCGUGUUUAACACAUGCAAGUCGAACGGUGAAGCAGAGCUUGCUCUGUGGAUCAGUGGCGAACGGGUGAGUAACACGUGAGCAACCUGCCCCUGACUCUGGGAUAAGCGCUGGAAACGGCGUCUAAUACUGGAUAUGAGCUGCGACCGCAUGGUCAGCAGUUGGAAAGAUUUUUCGGUCUGGGAUGGGCUCACGGCCUAUCAGCUUGUUGGUGAGGUAAUGGCUCACCAAGGCGUCGACGGGUAGCCGGCCUGAGAGGGUGACCGGCCACACUGGGACUGAGACACGGCCCAGACUCCUACGGGAGGCAGCAGUGGGGAAUAUUGCACAAUGGGCGAAAGCCUGAUGCAGCAACGCCGCGUGAGGGAUGACGGCCUUCGGGUUGUAAACCUCUUUUAGCAGGGAAGAAGCGAAAGUGACGGUACCUGCAGAAAAAGCGCCGGCUAACUACGUG
RNAcentral lists this ribosomal RNA (467 nucleotides) under uncultured bacterium. RNAcentral's name for it is "partial 16S ribosomal RNA". It matches the Rfam family "Bacterial small subunit ribosomal RNA", at positions 28 to 507 of the family's 1533-position model. The record is from RNAcentral.